This 4120-nucleotide long non-coding RNA is filed under the name Bemisia tabaci. Its description in RNAcentral is "lncRNA ENSSSA1UGG010825". Lineage: Eukaryota; Metazoa; Arthropoda; Insecta; Hemiptera; Aleyrodidae. The record is from RNAcentral.
CUGGUGAGCAAAAAAAUUAGUGGCUGAAGUUUUAUUUCCGAGAAUUGUACACGAAACACUGGCAGAUAUUACCCCAAUUUCCACGCAUUUCAACCUCCAUGUAAAUUGGUAGACGAACAUUGUACUGAUAUUUUGAAAGAGUAAAAAAUCCAGUGGAUAAAAUUUGGAUUGUUUUUUUCAGUCUUUUCUCCUCUCUUCGGUUCUGCUCACCAGAAUGCACAUGCGCGUCGGUCGUUACUGCAGUAAUACCGGUGAGGACUAGUUGUUCGCUCAUAUACAUCAGUCUCGCAUAGUAGAGUGUUGAUCGUACAUGAUCAUUGCGGCUGCAAAAUGCACCUGAAAAAACUUGUGUUCUGCCUGAUACAGGGCUUGAAUCUACUUGCAUUCGCUGAUUGUUUAGCUUCGACAAGUGCGAGCCCAAGAUCUGGGCCGUGUGAAAAUGCUAACUGUCCGCGAACAAUGCCGGAAGAGCCCCAGUUCGAAGAUCUAUUUCAUUUGGCCCAUAACGAUCCUUGUCUAGGGGUGACGUCAGAUAGUCCUCAAAAGGAUAAAUCAAGAGCAUUCAGCCUGUGCCAAAAGCUCGUCCGGGUGUACUUGGGAUCUCCCCUCUACAACCCAAAGUCGAAGUGUAAGAAUGCUGAAUUCGAUUAUUGCGUCAGUUCUGGAAAAGAUUUGGACUCCAACUACAGAUGCACGGUUAAAAUUCCGGGCGGGAUAAUGGGCUCAACUAAGAAGAGAUUGAGUUACUGCGUGAAGGAAGACCACCCUGGGUACGUCGCAAGAACGACGGUGCGCGGUGCGUCGCACUCUUUGGCCGAAGUCCCGAGGGCGAAGCCUCAAAUCGGACCCAUCAUCUACGGUGCUCAGCACGGGAUACAGGAAACGCCGAUAGCUCCUCCGCAGAUCGAGCGAACUAGAACACAGACCCAGCAGAGUGGACAAAGGCGGUCGAGCUCCAAUAGUCCACCACCGUCCAGACACGGCUCCCAAAGCGAUCGCGGGCGGACCGCUCAGCGAACCACCAGCAGAGCCGGAAGAGCCCGAGUUCGAAGAUCUAUAUCACUUGGAGCAUAAUGAUCCAUGUCUACCGUUAUCGAGAGCGAGUCCUCCUGAAGAAGUUCGAAGAGCAGUCGCACUAUGUAAAAAGCUCGUUCGGGUGUACUUGAGAUCUCCCCUCUACAACAACGGACAAAGGUCGCAUUGCAACCAGGCGAAGUUCGAAGACUGCGUUCUUUUCGGAAACGAUUUUUGGGUCUGGAAAUACAGAUGUGCGGUUAAAAUUCCGGCCGGACUCUUUCAAAAAGGUGCGAAGCCAUUAACUACCUGCGUCAAAGAGGAUCACCCGUGGUACGUCGAAAGAACGACAGUGCGCGGAGCGUCGCACUCUUUGGCCGAAGUCCCGAGGGCGAACCCUCAAAUCAGAACCGUCUACGGCGCUCAGCACGGGAUACAGGAAACGCCGAGAGCUCCUCCGCAAAUCGAGGAAACUAGAACCCAGCCAAGUGAACGAAGGCGUUCGAGAUCCACGAGUCCACCACCGUCCAGACGCGGCUCCCAGAGCGAUCGCGGGCGGACCGCUCAGCGAGCCUCCAGCAGCAGUUUCUCCUUCUCCGGCAUGUUCGGAGGCAGACGAACUCAGAGUAACAGCCCUACAAGACCUCUCUUAUGCGACUACGGGAACUAUAGGUCAGGGAAUUAACAGCCCCCCCCCCCCCCCACCCCACCCAAUGUGUGGACAAUAGCCGUAGCCUUCCAGCCGUAUAGAUUAGAGAUAGAUAUAGUUCUUUUGAGCCAAUUUGUAUUUAAAUUGUUCAAAAUUUGUUAAAUUUAAAAUGUGAUUUAAAAAUAAAGGGAACGGUUGUGUAAUCUCGUCCAGUUUGUCUCAUCUUUUCAUAUGACAGCCAUGAACAAUGUAUAACAAUAAAAAAAAGUAUAAGUAAAGAAAACAAAUACUUGAGGAGUUAAGAACAUAGCAAAUCAAAAAUUAUAAGUUUUUAAGAAUCACAUUUAUCUGAUUAUCGUUUAUAAAAUGGGGUUUUAAGUAAACUUUAAAUUUUGUUACUGAAUAUAUAUCUACUACAACCUGUUGAGCUCCCCUAAGUGUCAUAUGAUAUUGUUUCGUAAUUUAAACGGGUGUAUUUGCAAUAACAAAAAUUUCCGGUAAUUUUGCAAAAACUCGGGAAAAUAAGAAAACUCGACAAAAAAAGUAUCUUUACCACUGACAAAUGCAAAGGAAACCUUGGUUGGAACUGAAUUUUGAACAGUGAAGUCAUGAGAUUAAAAAACACAUUUGGACAUUGGAUUUCUUCACAUUUAAUAAAGUUCGAUGCUGAUUUGAUCUUUGUAUUUCUGAGCGUGUUAAAGUCAUGCAACUGAGGUUGUAAAAAAAUCUACUCUUGUUGUUAACUCUCUCACCAUCUCACUUGCAUACUAUUUUAAUCUAAGUUGGAGCUUCCUCUUAUGUUUUAUCUAUUAAUGACCUUGAUCAAUAAACUUUUUCUAGCUCUUGUUCUCGUGCUUGAUUUAAAUCGCAAAGUUUCGUUUUACAGAUAUUAUAUCUUCGAAUUUUUCUGGAGUCUUUAAAUUAUAAAAAAGCACAUGAAUCGUUUGUACAUGAGUCAUCAUUUAACAGAAGUUGACAGAUUAAACGACAAACUAAUGCGCUGAAAUGUUCAAAAUAUGAACUUUAUGUACUCAUCUUCCUACACACACCUGCAAAUCAAUUAAAUAUCGUUACACUUAAAUACAACACUCAUUAAGGAAGAUACAUUUGAUCUCACAAAUAUUCUUGCACUGGAAAAAAAACACAUUGGAUCUGGAGUCCAGACUCUUGAAAACAUUGACAAGAAAAAAUACUCUUGAUUCAAUUGGAUUUUUGCUAGAAUCAAAACAAAAUCCGCUUAAAUUAAGAUGCUUGGUUCUUGAUUUAAGCUAGAUUCAGAUUGAAUCAAAAGUACUUUGUCUUAUCGAUGUUUUUAAGAGGCUGGACUCUAGAUCCAAUGUGUUUUUUCCCAGUGUGCAUAUGGAGUGCAAAGUCACCCAUGUAACACCUCGUAAUAUCCUUUUGAGAACAGGAUCUCCGCGCACUGGAGACGGAAGAAGAUUAAAUUAACAAAAAUAAAGCUUCAAUAACGUCAACAACCACCAAUACUUCAAAAAAACUAAAUCACAAUAAAACCUAAUCAUAUUAAAAUGCAAAGAGAAGAUAUACACUGGUAAAAAAAAACACAUUGGAUAUGGAGUCCAGACUCUUAAAAACAUCGACAAGAAAAUGGACUCUUGAUUCAAGCAGAUUUAAACUUAAAUCAAGAACCAAGCCUCUUAAUUGAGCGGAUUUCCUUUUGAUUUAAGCUUAAAUCUGAUUGAAUCAAGAGUCCACUUUCUUGUCAAUGUUUUCAAGAGUCUGGACUCUAGAUCCAAUGUGUUUUUUUUACCAGUGUAACUAAAUAUUUUUGAUUAGAGUACAAAGUCAAGACAUGCCUGUCAUCAUCAUCCCCGGAACGAAGGAACUUAUUAACCCUCAAUUGCAUCAUGUACAAUGUGAUGGCACUGAACUAUGCCGCAUCAUUAAUACAGAGCACAUUCGCCCUAAUAAACACUUUUUCCCAGAUCCCACGAAAGCCCACAGAAAGAGGAAAAAAGAAGAUGAUUUAAAAUAAGGAAUCACUUGAUUCGACCGUUAAACUAUGUUUUUAAAUUUAAAAAAAACUUUAAGUUAUUUUUAAAGAUCUAUUGUGAUAGAGUUAAGUUUUGGCCUCAUAUUUACGUUCUAAGCAAAACAUAACCGGUUCAAACUCAUAUUUCCUCCGAUGCCCUUCAAGAAAAAAGCACAAAGUUGGUUUGCUUGCACGGAAGUCCAGGUGCAGACAAUGUAUCACGUGAUUUGACUGUUAAAUUAUAUUUUAAAAGAAUAAGGUUGGCGUUAUUCGGCGAUACGGUACCGCCGAAUAACGUUUUAUUAGAUGGUACCGUGAACCGUUUUAUUAGACAGUACCGCUGAAUAACCACCUCCAAAAAUUAAAGACAUUAUUUCAGUUCUGUUGUGAUGAAGCUAAGUCUUGCCCUCAUUAUUACGUUCGAAGCAAAACAUGACCAAGAAAAGGGCAAAAAGUUAGUUGGA